AGACAAAAUUGACUUUUUGUGAGACAAAAUUCAAUUUUGUCAAUUUUGUCUCACAAAAGUCAAUUUUGUCUCACGAAAGUCAAUUUUGUCUCACGAAAGU
Molecule: small RNA, 100 nt
Filed under: Mytilus galloprovincialis (Mediterranean mussel)
Lineage: Eukaryota; Metazoa; Mollusca; Bivalvia; Mytilida; Mytilidae
Source: RNAcentral